RNAcentral lists this ribosomal RNA (254 nucleotides) under uncultured bacterium. Its description in RNAcentral is "partial 16S ribosomal RNA". It matches the Rfam family "Bacterial small subunit ribosomal RNA", at positions 524 to 776 of the family's 1533-position model. The record is from RNAcentral.
UACGGGGGGAGCAAGCGUUGUUCGGAUUUACUGGGCGUAAAGGGCGCGUAGGCGGUCGUGACAAGUCACUUGUGAAAUCUCCGGGCUUAACUCGGAACGGUCAAGUGAUACUGUCGGACUAGAGUACAGAAGGGGCAACUGGAAUUCUCGGUGUAGCGGUGAAAUGCGUAGAUAUCGAGAGGAACACCAGUGGCGAAGGCGGCUCACUGGCCCGAUACUGACGCUGAGGCACGAAAGCGUGGGGAGCAAACAGG